GUCCCAUCUAUAGCAAUUGCAUUUGUGACAUACGAGGUGGUGAAGGACAUUCUAGGAGUUGAGAUUAGAAUAUCAGACUGAAGCGUGGGCUCCUCCCUAAUGAUCGUUGAACAAGUGUGCUAUUUUUGUAGGCAAGGGAAUGGGUAGAAGGUAAAUUAGGGUAAUUUUCUUCCACAUUUCUCUAUGUGAGUGAGUUUAAAGAUGCAUUUAAGGCUGUCAUAAAUUGUUUUCCCUUCUCUGUUUCCUUGAGAACAUGCUGGAGUUGUCCCCUCAACAUACUUAUUGACAAUAUAAAUGAGAAGCUGACGUAUGUUGAGGGGACAACUCACGAAAUUCAAUUGGAUGCCUCUCCAUGAGAAUUGAGAUUUUCUGAGCAAAAAAAAAAAAAAAA
Molecule: unclassified non-coding RNA, 391 nt
Filed under: Hevea brasiliensis (rubber tree)
Lineage: Eukaryota; Viridiplantae; Streptophyta; Magnoliopsida; Malpighiales; Euphorbiaceae
Source: RNAcentral